Molecule: small nucleolar RNA, 98 nt
Organism: Zingiber officinale
Lineage: Eukaryota; Viridiplantae; Streptophyta; Magnoliopsida; Zingiberales; Zingiberaceae
Product: small nucleolar RNA snR60/Z15/Z230/Z193/J17
Exons: 1
Source: RefSeq, a predicted model, not a curated record
AGAGGUCGCGUGAUGAUCGCAUAGUUCAAAUGAUCUUCACCAUCUUGUAUGGUGUUAUGAUUAUUGACAACGUCUUUCGCUCCUAUCUGACGACCUUU